Molecule: ribosomal RNA, 521 nt
Filed under: Nocardiopsis synnemataformans
Lineage: Bacteria; Bacillati; Actinomycetota; Actinomycetes; Streptosporangiales; Nocardiopsidaceae
Description: bacterial SSU rRNA
Rfam family: Bacterial small subunit ribosomal RNA
Source: RNAcentral
CGCCGCGCUCAGGCCCCUUCGGGGUAUUGUAGCGGCGAACGGGCUGACCUAACACGUGAGCAACCUGCCCCUGACUCUGGGAUAAGCGGUGGAAACGCCGUCUAAUACCGGAUACGACCCGCCACCUCAUGGUGGAGGGUGGAAAGUUUUUCGGUCAGGGAUGGGCUCGCGGCCUAUCAGCUUGUUGGUGGGGUAACGGCCUACCAAGGCGAUUACGGGUAGCCGGCCUGAGAGGGCGACCGGCCACACUGGGACUGAGACACGGCCCAUACUCCUGCGGGAGGCAGCAGUGGGGAAUAUUGCGCAAUGGGCGAAAGCCUGACGCAGCGACGCCGCGUGGGGGAUGACGGCCUUCGGGUUGUAAACCUCUUUUACCACCAACGCAGGCUCGAAGUUCUCUUCGGGUUGACGGUAGGUGGGGAAUAAGGACCGGCUAACUACGUGCCAGCAGCCGCGGUAAUACGUACGGUCCGAGCGUUGUCCGGAAUUAUUGGGCGUAAAGAGUUCGUAAGCGGCGUGUC